UACGGGGGGGGUAAGCGUUGUUCGGAAUUACUGGGCGUAAAGGGCUCGUAGGCGGCCAACUAAGUCAUACGUGAAAUCCCUCAGCUUAACUGGGGAACUGCGUGUGAUACUGGAUGGCUUGGAUUUGGGAGAGGGAUGCGGAAUUCCAGGUGUAGCGGUGAAAUGCGUAGAUAUCUGGAGGAACACCAAUGGCGAAGGCAGCUCGCUGGGACGGUACUGACGCUGAGACGCGAAAGCGUGGGGAGCAAACAGG
RNAcentral lists this ribosomal RNA (253 nucleotides) under uncultured bacterium. RNAcentral describes it as "partial 16S ribosomal RNA". It matches the Rfam family "Bacterial small subunit ribosomal RNA", at positions 524 to 776 of the family's 1533-position model. The record is from RNAcentral.